CGCCCGGCGGAGCGGCGGGAGCGGCGGCGGGCGCGGGGCCCUCCCGGCGCUACCUGUGCGAGCGCCGCGGGGCCGGGCGGGGCCGGGAGCGCUCCCAGCAUGGACUUUGACGGUGGGUUUGCGUCUUUGCCGCGCAGGAGCCCGCAGGAGGCGGCGGCGUCGGUGGGACGAGGGCCGGAUCCCGCGGGCACCGCCGGAGGAAGGGGCAGCCCGGCGGCCGGGGACCGUGCGCGGCGGGGCCACGCUUCCAGCACGCUGCUCGCACGGACACCGCCCCGCCGCGCCGAUUUCCUCGGAAGAAGCACAAAAGGAGAUGUCCUGUUCUUUGAAAAUAACUGGAGCCACUGGCAAGAAGCAGCGACGCCGCACCGAACAAGGGAACCACUUCCAGGUUAUCCAAGCAUGCUGCUGAACUGACUUUUGCAGCUGCAUUUUCCAAUGUACCAUGGGAUGCAUCAAAUCCAAGGCUGCCUUCCAAGGUUCCAACGCCGUGCAGGAUGAGCGGAUCGGGGCAGGCGGCGAGGGCUGUGCCGGGGAGAAGUCAUCACUGCUGGCGGUGCAGGCGGAGGAGAAGGGCCCCUCGAGCGCCGCCGUGCUGGACUACGCGCACCGGCUCUCCCGGGAGAUCCUGGAGCAGGCGGUCAAGCAGUGGGCGGUGACCGAGAGCAAGUACAGCGACAUCCCCUUCAUCGAGAGCGACGUGCCCUGAGCCUCCUGCCAGCACAGCCCCUGCUGCCCCCUGGGCACCGCCGUGGGGAGGUGUCUGCAGGGAGAGCCUGAGAAAUCUGCCUUUCAGCCUAGAUUGCUAACAAACCACUUGGAUCGCAGUAGAACCUGUCCAUCAAGUGUCAUUCCUUGUCAGCCAUGUGUUGAGUGUACUCUGUCUUUGUACGUGUUGGGUGUGAGCAGAAAUCAGCGUUAAAAGGAGGAUGAGAAGACUGUGGCUGCCCUGCACCUCUGCAAGCACUGCCACAGAGGACAAAACGUGGAUUAUUUCUGUGUUCUGCAUAAAAGAUCAGUGGUCUGUCUGUAGGUGAGAUGAACUCUCUGUGCUUGGUGAUUUGUCUGCGUUUUGCUAAAGUGAAAUCAAGGUGUGCAUGUAGCAAAGGUUACUGCUAUCAUAAAUUUUACUUUUGAUUCUGUGACCUAACCAAAUCUGUAAAAUCACAAAAUGAUAAAGGUGAUGGGAGGCGCUUUGCAAACCCCAGUAGUAUUCAGGGAGCCAUCUGGAUGAUGAUGCUCUUCACCUUCCAUUGAAGUGAACCAGUGAGAGUGCCAGUGUCAAUAAGCAGUGCAUUAUCAUUAACAGAUGCUUCUGUAAAUGCUUGAGAGCUUGUCUCUAAAACCCU
This 1349-nucleotide long non-coding RNA is filed under the name Junco hyemalis (dark-eyed junco). RNAcentral's name for it is "lncRNA (ENSJHYG00000006862.1)". Lineage: Eukaryota; Metazoa; Chordata; Aves; Passeriformes; Passerellidae. The record is from RNAcentral.